This is a long non-coding RNA of Ostrinia nubilalis (European corn borer), 3304 nucleotides long. RefSeq lists it as uncharacterized. The record is from RefSeq and is a predicted model, not a curated record. Lineage: Eukaryota; Metazoa; Arthropoda; Insecta; Lepidoptera; Crambidae. The transcript has 2 exons.
AGAGCCAUUUUACAUUUUCGUGCGAAUUUCUAAGAUUUUGGAAGCAUGAAUUACUAUCUUAAGCAACACCCAGAGAUUAUUUAAUAACUGCGAAAGAUAGGUCAAUCCUUGGUGUUGACCAUUAAUGAAACGGAUUUACUAAAACUCUUUUGCUUAAUUCACAGUGCCCCAUCUCCCACAACCAUUUUACGGAAAAAUUGCCGCAGACUCAUUUUCAAAGUCCUGUAUCUAUUAUUUAUGCUCAUAUAAUAAGCUUAAAAAUAUAUAGUAAUCAUCGGACAUAUAUUCUUGUAGUCCAUUAAUGAAAUAGAUUCUUGAAUUUCAUUACCAUUAUUGAGUAAAAUCUAAAAAUAAUUUGGCAAAUUUGAAGAUUAACGUCACAUUUUGAUCGUGGUUUUUGGUUUAAAAACACAGCAAUAACUGCAAUAAAAGUAUCCCAAAAUAAAGAAUAUUCAUUGUAGAAUUGAUUUCUACAGUUAUUGUUUAAAUAUUAGUAACCACUUUGUCAAAAUAUUGAUGUGAAUAUCAGUAUAAAUUACAAUACGCAAGCCGACAUCGAUUAGUAUGGCGCGAGCGCCCGUCAAGGUAGGACCUGUGUCAUUUUUCCCGCCGUGACGUUUACGUGCGUUCGUGUCGUGAAGCGGUGAUUUGUACGGCGACCAAAUGCAUUUGAUACUAUGCCGAGAGGCUGUUUCGAGUCGGCCGGCCGAGCAGAAAUUGAAAUGAUGAAUUUUAAUUUCUUUGACGGAUCUGGGUGUAACUAUGUAUAAUAUGUAGGUACCAUGGUAUUUAAUUUAAUAAAUAAAUUAUAAAAAAGUAUAUUCAUUAUGCUAGCACCCUUAACACAAGCAUAUUGGUUGCCUACUUUUGGACUAGAUGGCGCUGUGAAAUUGUCCAAAGAUUUGUUUAUUUAUUUAUCCGCUUUGAGUUUUGUUUCGUGAAGAAGAAAAAGAAGCGUUUUGUUUCGAGAGGGAAGCUUUGUUGUUAAAUCUAUACUAAUAAAAGAGGAAAUAUUUAAUUGUUUGUUUUUUUGUUUGGAGGCAAUAGGCUCCGAAAAAAAAUUCUUUCACGAUUUAGAAUCCUAAUUUUUUUCUAUGUAGGCUAUAAAAUAUUUUCAAAAACUUUAGUCCAAAAUCUUUGAUAAAAUUCGACGUUUAAUAAAUAAAUUAGAUAACAUAUUAGUAAUACUUUUUUUUUCAGUACGAUUUUAGUACUUGUUUUUCAGAAAUUCUACGAUUUAACUAAACUUAUUAAGUGUUUAUAUUUUAUGCAUAAUUUAUUAACUUCUAAAAUAUACAUAUAUCCUAUUGAUAGAUGACGUGCUUCGUAUUUUAUUAAAAUUAUUACCUGACUAGGUUAAAAAGGUGUGGAAUGUUAUUUUGGAGAUAACUUGGUUCCAUAGAAAUAUAGAGAGAUGCUAAGUAGGUAAUGCGCUGAGUUCGAAACUCAGUGUAUUAUUAGAAAUUCACACACACAAAGAAAUCAAAUUAUGUGCUCAUUAUCCACUGCGGUAUCAGUAUUCAACGUUCGAAUAAUCUUUAAUACUAUGCAAGCAAUAUAAACUGUUUACAUAAUGACGUCGCUACUGUCAUCAUUGCUUUCACAAGCAAUAUGUUCCAAUUUGUCCCAUGUCACAUUUCCCUUUAGUUUCUGUAAUCUGUGCUUGUUUCUAAGUUGAUAUCAAUGAAAUAUUCCUUAGUACUUUUGAUUUAAUUUUUUUUUAAUUUUGACACGUGUUUGAAAAAUCAAGGUCAGAUAACAAUAAAAUAACAAGUGAAAACGUAACAUUGCAUUGCAACUCGCAAUUUCGCAAUAUUGAUGAGGAGAUUCCAUUGGAAAGUCUGUAUUCAUUCCUAGGAUUCCCCUAACACCAUCAAAUUCAAGAGAAUUCAAGAGAGUGCAGUUUCCCAUCUCAUGCUUAUGGACCACGGUUUAAAAUAGUGUGGUUGCAUAGAGCCUGCAACGGGCAACCGCGUGCACAGCUGCUCAUACUAAUUUUCGAUACAAAACUCUGUCUGUUAAUGGAUCUGGAGGAGAUGCAAUGGCCACCUCCGUAACAAAACAAUAGAACCCUAUGGAGUUUGGGCUUGUGUGAUUCGCCUUGACGAAUAGUUCGUAUCCAGCGUCCGAUGAUGGAGCUGUAAGGGGGCAGAUUUUUUUUUUCACUAUGUGACUGUCUUUAUUUUGUACUUAAUAUAUAUUUUACAUAUUAUACCUAUUCGUGUUUCAUUAUGAAUCGAAAUAUAAAAGACAAUAAACUCUAUUAAAAUUUUAAAUUAAUUUAUCAAGUUUGAAUACCUCAUUCUACCUUAAAAUUAAUUGGCUCUGUGCACGAUUACAGCGCCAACUAGCGUCCACAACUUUGUGUGCUCUGUCACAUUGACAUUUAGGUCGUAUAUUUGUGAAAUGAUAUCGAAAUGAAAAAAUAACAAAUAUUUUCAACUAAUAAAUUGUUGUGAUACCACGAUUUGGAUGGAAAAAAGGUUUUGAAAUCAUUUUGGUCAUUCAAAUCAAAUCCAAAAAGUGUGUUUAAUUUUGAUUGUGUCAGGGUUUGUUUACUUCAUUUAUAAUUGUAGUUUUACAGUAAAACAAAAAGAAAAAGCUACUUUAACGGUUUCAUUAUAUAAAAGUAAAUAUAUUUAAAUGUUCCUGUAUCGCUAGUAAUAAAUUAAAUAUCGUUUUCAGAUCGAAAUGAGUAUUGUUUUGAAGACCGGGUUUGUGAGUUUUACAAUAUCAAAUUCCAACCACAAACCGUAUUUUAAGGAAAGUUGUUGGUAUUGGCUGGACAAGUCCGAGAUGUAGAAGAAUUAAGAACAAAACAAGGGCAGAGUUCAAUAAUUCACGCUCUCAUCAUAAGGCAAACAUCUGUGCACAACAACUACUGUGACUCAUUUUUGUACUACCACGUUGUAUAGUCUAGUUAUUUCCAAAUUGUAAACGGCUAUUAAACCAGCCCUAUCGAAAUACAGUCCACUCUUUUAUUUAAGUUCCCAGUAGGACCCUUUUCAUGCGAUUAGUUAAUGAUAUUAAAAUGUAUUAAGUAGAAUCGCUUUGCCAUUGACAGAUACAACUGAUGACAGAGCUUACAUUAUUUCUACUUUUGACCACCAUGAGCGCUGCGAUCGAUUAUGUUACCCCCACCUAGUACUUCGCACCCAGCGAAUAACUUAAAUCAAGUCUUAAUACGGUCACGGCUCAAGAUUUUUUUGUCCAUUUCAGCGUUCUUUUUACUCUUUUGACGUUGCGUUGACAGCUUUUACCUAAAUUCGCGCGGAAUAUUUUUGUGAAAUGGCUCUUAAGGUCU